Molecule: non-coding RNA, 96 nt
Organism: Xylariaceae sp. FL0016
Lineage: Eukaryota; Fungi; Ascomycota; Sordariomycetes; Xylariales; Xylariaceae
Source: the annotation of a GenBank genome assembly
GCUCGCGUCGUAUAGUGGUCAGUACAUGACGUUGUGGUCGCUCUUCACAGCAAUUCAUGAACCGUCAAAACGGCGGUUCGAUUCCGCCCGCGGGCA